This 67-nucleotide transfer RNA is filed under the name Spelobia clunipes. RNAcentral describes it as "tRNA-Ser". Lineage: Eukaryota; Metazoa; Arthropoda; Insecta; Diptera; Sphaeroceridae. The record is from RNAcentral.
AGCCAAUGAGCUUGAAUAAGCAUAUGUUUUGAAAACAUAAGAUAGAAAUUUAUCUUUCUAUUGGCUU